AUUUCUUUAGUAUUAAUUAGUACGAUUGACUUCCAAUCAAUUAGAUUCGGCCCAACCCGAAAAGAAAUA
RNAcentral lists this transfer RNA (69 nucleotides) under Proteles cristata (aardwolf). RNAcentral's name for it is "tRNA-Gly". The record is from RNAcentral. Lineage: Eukaryota; Metazoa; Chordata; Mammalia; Carnivora; Hyaenidae.